RNAcentral lists this ribosomal RNA (497 nucleotides) under uncultured bacterium. Its description in RNAcentral is "partial 16S ribosomal RNA". It matches the Rfam family "Bacterial small subunit ribosomal RNA", at positions 28 to 507 of the family's 1533-position model. The record is from RNAcentral.
GAUGAACGCUGGCGGCGUGCCUAAUACAUGCAAGUCGAGCGAACAGACGAGGAGCUUGCUCCUCUGACGUUAGCGGCGGACGGGUGAGUAACACGUGGAUAACCUACCUAUAAGACUGGGAUAACUUCGGGAAACCGGAGCUAAUACCGGAUAAUAUAUUGAACCGCAUGGUUCAAUAGUUAAAGACGGUUUUGCUGUCACUUAUAGAUGGAUCCGCGCCGCAUUAGCUAGUUGGUAAGGUAACGGCUUACCAAGGCAACGAUGCGUAGCCGACCUGAGAGGGUGAACGGCCACACUGGAACUGAGACACGGUCCAGACUCCUACGGGAGGCAGCAGUAGGGAAUCUUCCGCAAUGGGCGAAAGCUUGACGGAGCAACGCCGCGUGAGUGAUGAAGGUCUUCGGAUCGUAAAACUCUGUUAUUAGGGAAGAACAAAUGUGUAAGUAACUAUGCACGUCUUGACGGUACCUAAUCAGAAAGCCACGGCUAACUACGUG